UCAUCACCAUCAUCACCCAAGGUAGUCUUUCGGGAGAUGUACGCAUACCCGGGAGGCAGGAAACUCCCGGAGGUUAAAAAUCCAAAGAAUUUUAGAUUUAAACCCUCGGGAGACUAACAUCUUCCGAGGGUUUUUUCGU
Vibrio mytili is the source of this 139-nucleotide non-coding RNA. Lineage: Bacteria; Pseudomonadati; Pseudomonadota; Gammaproteobacteria; Vibrionales; Vibrionaceae. The record is from Rfam.